GAUGAACGCUGGCGGCGUGCCUAAUACAUGCAAGUCGAGCGAACAGACGAGGAGCUUGCUCCUCUGUCGUUAGCGGCGGACGGGUGAGUAACACGUGGAUAACCUACCUAUAAGACUGGGAUAACUUCGGGAAACCUGAGCUAAUACCGGAUAAUAUAUUGAACCGCAUGGUUCAAUAGUGAAAGACGGUUUUGCGGUCACUUAUAGAUGGAUCCGCGCCGCAUUAGCUAGUUGGUAAGGUAACGGCUUACCAAGGCAACGAUGCGUAGCCGACCUGAGAGGGUGAUAGGCCACACUGGAACUGAGACACGGUCCAGACUACUACGGGAGGCAGCAGUAGGGAAUCGUCCGCAAUGGGCGAAGGCCUGAAGGAGCAACGCCGAGUGAAUGAUGAAGGUCUUCGGAUCGUAAAACUCUGUUAUUAGGGAAGAACAAAUGUGUAAGUAACUAUGCACGUCUUGACGGUACCUAAUCAGAAAGCCACGGCUAACUACGUG
RNAcentral lists this ribosomal RNA (497 nucleotides) under uncultured bacterium. RNAcentral's name for it is "partial 16S ribosomal RNA". It matches the Rfam family "Bacterial small subunit ribosomal RNA", at positions 28 to 507 of the family's 1533-position model. The record is from RNAcentral.